Molecule: ribosomal RNA, 434 nt
Filed under: uncultured Lachnospiraceae bacterium
Lineage: Bacteria; Bacillati; Bacillota; Clostridia; Lachnospirales; Lachnospiraceae
Description: partial 16S ribosomal RNA
Rfam family: Bacterial small subunit ribosomal RNA
Source: RNAcentral
ACGGGAGGCAGCAGUGGGGAAUAUUGGACAAUGGGGGGAACCCUGAUCCAGCGACGCCGCGUGAGUGAAGAAGUAUUUCGGUAUGUAAAGCUCUAUCAGCAGGGAAGAUGAUGACGGUACCAGACUAAGAAGCCCCGGCUAACUACGUGCCAGCAGCCGCGGUAAUACGUAGGGGGCAAGCGUUAUCCGGAUUUACUGGGUGUAAAGGGAGCGUAGGCGGCCAAGCAAGUCAGAUGUGAAAACCCGGGGCUUAACUCCGGGAUUGCAUUUGAAACUGUCUGGCUAGAGUGCAGGAGAGGCAAGCGGAAUUCCUAGUGUAGCGGUGAAAUGCGUAGAUAUUAGGAAGAACACCAGUGGCGAAGGCGGCUUGCUGGACUGAGACUGACGCUGAGGUUCGAAAGCGUGGGGAGCAAACAGGAUUAGAUACCCUGGUA